AAUUCUCAACUUUGAAAGCAUUGUUGUUUUCAAAGCUUGGACUGUGGAGGCUUGCCGGCAAAAGAAAAAUAUUGUCAGCUCCUCUCAAAUGCAUUAGCGGAACCUUUUGUUUUGAAGGGACCGGCUUCAGUUUGGUAAUUCUAUCUAUGCUGUUGCUGUUGACCUUUAUAUGUUCUGCUUCUAAUGGUCUUUGGACUGUCUCUGUAAUGAGGCAUACACUUUUAA
This 225-nucleotide unclassified non-coding RNA is filed under the name Ramariopsis subtilis. Its description in RNAcentral is "partial internal transcribed spacer 2". Lineage: Eukaryota; Fungi; Basidiomycota; Agaricomycetes; Agaricales; Clavariaceae. The record is from RNAcentral.